UACGGAGGGUGCGAGCGUUAAUCGGAAUUACUGGGCGUAAAGGGUGCGUAGGCGGCCGAGCGAGUCGAAUGUGAAAGCCCCGGGCUUAACCUGGGAAUUGCAUCCGAUACUGUUCGGCUAGAGUGCGGUAGAGGGUGGUGGAACUCCAGGUGUAGCGGUGAAAUGCGUAGAUAUCUGGAAGAACACCAGUGGCGAAGGCGGCCACCUGGACCGUAACUGACGCUGAGGCACGAAAGCGUGGGGAGCAAACAGG
RNAcentral lists this ribosomal RNA (253 nucleotides) under uncultured bacterium. RNAcentral's name for it is "partial 16S ribosomal RNA". It matches the Rfam family "Bacterial small subunit ribosomal RNA", at positions 524 to 776 of the family's 1533-position model. The record is from RNAcentral.